CCGAGUUUACAACUCCCAAACCCAAUGUGAACCGUACCAAACCGUUGCCUCGGCGGGGUCACGCCCCGGGCGCGUCGCAGCCCCGGAACCAGGCGCCCGCCGGAGGGACCAACCAAACUCUCUUUGAAGUCCCCUCGCGGACGUUAUUCCUUACAGCUCUGAGCAAAAAAAAUUCAAAAUGAAUCA
RNAcentral lists this unclassified non-coding RNA (186 nucleotides) under uncultured fungus. RNAcentral describes it as "sequence contains ITS1, 5.8S rRNA gene". Lineage: Eukaryota; Fungi. The record is from RNAcentral. RNAcentral also lists the same sequence under 1 other name.